ACGCACGCUGGCGGCAUGCCUAACACAUGCAAGUCGAACGAGACCUUCGGGUCUAGUGGCGCACGGGUGCGUAACGCGUGGGAACCUGCCCUUAGGUUCGGAAUAACUCCCCGAAAGGGGUGCUAAUACCGGAUAAUGUCUUCGGACCAAAGAUUUAUCGCCUUUGGAUGGGCCCGCGUUGGAUUAGCUAGUUGGUAGGGUAAAAGCCUACCAAGGCGACGAUCCAUAGCUGGUCUGAGAGGAUGAUCAGCCACACUGGGACUGAGACACGGCCCAGACUCCUACGGGAGGCAGCAGUGGGGAAUAUUGGACAAUGGGCGAAAGCCUGAUCCAGCAAUGCCGCGUGAGUGAUGAAGGCCGUAGGGUUGUAAAGCUCUUUUACCCGGGAUGAUAAUGACGGUACCGGGAGAAUAAGCUCCGGCUAACUCCGUG
This 432-nucleotide ribosomal RNA is filed under the name uncultured bacterium. RNAcentral describes it as "partial 16S ribosomal RNA". It matches the Rfam family "Bacterial small subunit ribosomal RNA", at positions 29 to 507 of the family's 1533-position model. The record is from RNAcentral.